UACGGGAGGCAGCGGUAGGGAAUCUUCCGCAAUGGACGAAAGUCUGACGGAGCAACGCCGCGUGAGUGAUGAAGGUUUUCGGAUCGUAAAGCUCUGUUGUUAGGGAAGAACAAGUACCGUUCGAAUAGGGCGGUACCUUGACGGUACCUAACCAGAAAGCCACGGCUAACUACGUGCCAGCAGCCGCGGUAAUACGUAGGUGGCAAGCGUUGUCCGGAAUUAUUGGGCGUAAAGGGCUCGCAGGCGGUUUCUUAAGUCUGAUGUGAAAGCCCCCGGCUCAACCGGGGAGGGUCAUUGGAAACUGGGGAACUUGAGUGCAGAAGAGGAGAGUGGAAUUCCACGUGUAGCGGUGAAAUGCGUAGAGAUGUGGAGGAACACCAGUGGCGAAGGCGACUCUCUGGUCUGUAACUGACGCUGAGGAGCGAAAGCGUGGGGAGCGAACAGGAUUAGAUACCCUGGUAGUCCACGCCGUAAACGAUGAGUGCUAAGUGUUAGGGGGUUUCCGCCCCUUAGUGCUGCAGCUAACGCAUUAAGCACUCCGCCUGGGGAGUACGGUCGCAAGACUGAAACUCAAAGGAAUUGACGG
Molecule: ribosomal RNA, 586 nt
Filed under: Bacillus sp. WG99m
Lineage: Bacteria; Bacillati; Bacillota; Bacilli; Caryophanales; Bacillaceae
Description: bacterial SSU rRNA
Rfam family: Bacterial small subunit ribosomal RNA
Source: RNAcentral